GUAGGUGAACCUGCGGAAGGAUCAUUAUAAAUGAUGGUUGAUUGGUGGAGGUUGGUAAGACGACUGACACUGAUUGAUUCUAUACCUGUGAAUAUACCUAUGUCUGGUCGAUGCGUUAGCUUUGUGCUGCUUUAUGUAGCAAUAUCCUGGCUUGACGUCCGACCAGUAUUAUUCUUCGAAUCCUGUCUGACUACAAAGUUAAUAAAUAAAAACUUUCAACAAUGGAUCUCUUGGCUCUG
Molecule: unclassified non-coding RNA, 239 nt
Filed under: rhizosphere metagenome
Description: partial ribosomal RNA internal transcribed spacer region
Source: RNAcentral